Molecule: ribosomal RNA, 506 nt
Filed under: uncultured bacterium
Lineage: Bacteria
Description: partial 16S ribosomal RNA
Rfam family: Bacterial small subunit ribosomal RNA
Source: RNAcentral
AGUGAACGCUGGCGGUAGGCCUAACACAUGCAAGUCGAACGGCAGCACAGAGGAGCUUGCUCCUUGGGUGGCGAGUGGCGGACGGGUGAGGAAUACAUCGGAAUCUACUCUGUCGUGGGGGAUAACGUAGGGAAACUUACGCUAAUACCGCAUACGACCUACGGGUGAAAGCAGGGGACCUUCGGGCCUUGCGCGAUUGAAUGAGCCGAUGUCGGAUUAGCUAGUUGGCGGGGUAAAGGCCCACCAAGGCGACGAUCCGUAGCUGGUCUGAGGGGAUGAUCAGCCACACUGGAACUGAGACACGGUCCAGACACCUACGGGAGGCAGCAGUGGGGAAUAUUGGACAAUGGGCGCAAGCCUGAUCCAGCCAUACCGCGUGGGUGAAGAAGGCCUUCGGGUUGUAAAGCCCUUUUGUUGGGAAAGAAAUCCAGCUGGCUAAUACCCGGUUGGGAUGACGGUACCCAAAGAAUAAGCACCGGCUAACUUCGUGCCAGCAGCCGCGGUAA